Molecule: ribosomal RNA, 376 nt
Filed under: uncultured bacterium
Lineage: Bacteria
Description: bacterial SSU rRNA
Rfam family: Bacterial small subunit ribosomal RNA
Source: RNAcentral
AUACGAAGGGGGCUAGCGUUGUUCGGAAUCACUGGGCGUAAAGCGCGUGUAGGCGGAUCGUUAAGUCGGGGGUGAAAUCCUGAGGCUCAACCUCAGAACUGCCUUCGAUACUGGCGAUCUUAGAGUCCGGGAGAGGUGAGUGGAACUCCUAGUGUAGAGGUGAAAUUCGUAGAUAUUAGGAAGAACACCAGUGGCGAAGGCGGCUCACUGGCCCGGUACUGACGCUGAUAUGCGAAAGCGUGGGGAGCAAACAGGAUUAGAUACCCUGGUAGUCCACGCCGUAAACUAUGAAUGCUAGCCGUCGGACAGCUUGCUGUUCGGUGGCGCACCUAACGGAUUAAGCAUUCCGCCUGGGGAGUACGGUCGCAAGAUUAAA